AAGGGCGCACGGUGGAUGCCUUGGCACUAGAAGCCGAUGAAGGACGUGACUAACGACGAAAUGCUUUGGGGAGUUGUAAGUAAACAUUGAUCCAGAGAUGUCCGAAUGGGGGAACCCGGCAUGUGAAGCAUGUCACUCAUUACUGUUAAGGUAAUG
Molecule: small RNA, 156 nt
Filed under: Streptococcus equinus ATCC 700338
Lineage: Bacteria; Bacillati; Bacillota; Bacilli; Lactobacillales; Streptococcaceae
Rfam family: Bacterial large subunit ribosomal RNA
Source: RNAcentral